GCUUACGGCCAUACCAGCCUGGGUACGCCCGAUCUCGUCUGAUGUCGGAAGCUAAGCAGGGUCGGGCCUGGUUAGUACUUGGAUGGGAGACCGCCUGGGAAUACCAGGUGCUGUAAGCA
RNAcentral lists this ribosomal RNA (119 nucleotides) under Salmo salar (Atlantic salmon). The record is from RNAcentral. Lineage: Eukaryota; Metazoa; Chordata; Actinopteri; Salmoniformes; Salmonidae.